This is a long non-coding RNA of Ochlerotatus camptorhynchus, 534 nucleotides long. RefSeq lists it as uncharacterized. Lineage: Eukaryota; Metazoa; Arthropoda; Insecta; Diptera; Culicidae. The transcript has 4 exons. The record is from RefSeq and is a predicted model, not a curated record.
CUAAACUAGCUGCUGCUACUUCUGCGUUACCAAUAUCCGCUUCAUCAACACGCCGAAAGUUACAACCUGAUCGGGAAGCGGACUCUAUGAUUGUAUCAGCAAACAAGAGGACCCGAAAAAUCAAAUCGGAAUCACCUUCAAUAACGGAAUCAAUUUUGACACCAGCCGCAGCUCCAGUUAUUCAGCUGGAAUCAACAAUUCCUGCUGUGUUGAAGGCAACAGAGUUGAGAGUAAAUGAAGUUCUUCAAACAAGAAAUACGCUGAGGUCCCUGGAAAAUCUACCACAAAUUGACGUGCUGGGAAAGCUUUUAAGUAAAGCUGACAAAGCUGUACCUAUUUCUCCAGCUCUACCUUCGCCGAUAGCAUCAGUCACAGUAAACACGACCUGCCUCGGGGUUUCACCAUUCUUUGUAGCUACUUCGCCUGAUAGAGUUGCUUCCCCUAUUGAAUCAACGUCGAAGGCUAGUGCAACAAACGGGUUGACGAAUUCCGUCGAAUUUUCUAAAGUUACAGGUCGAGUAACUUCACGGAUUG